GACGAACGCUGGCGGCGCGCUUAACACAUGCAAGUCGAACGGAAAGGCCCGGCUUUUGUUGGGGACUGGAGGUGCGAGAGUGUGGGUAACAUGUGAAUAACCUGCCCUUUAUUUUGGGAUAACUUGUGUAAGCUUGGGCUACUACGUGAAAUUACCGCCAGCACCGUGGGGGGGGGUGUAAGGUGUCGGCGGUUGGGCAUGGACUUGCGGCUGAGCAGGUUGUUGGUGGGGUUGUGGGUUAGGAAGGCUUUGACGGGUAGCGGGCCUGAGAGGGUGACCGGCCACAUUGGGACUGAGAUACGGGCCAGACUCCUACGGGAGGCAGCAGUGGGGAAUAUUGCACAAUGGGCGGAAGCCUGAUGCAGCAACGCCGCGUGCGGGAUGACGGCCUUCGGGUUGUCAACCGCUUUCGCCUGUGACGAAGCGGGAGUGACGGUAAUGGGUAAAGAAGCACCGGCUAACUACGUG
RNAcentral lists this ribosomal RNA (468 nucleotides) under uncultured bacterium. RNAcentral's name for it is "partial 16S ribosomal RNA". It matches the Rfam family "Bacterial small subunit ribosomal RNA", at positions 28 to 507 of the family's 1533-position model. The record is from RNAcentral.